CACGUAGUUAGCCGGAGCUUAUUCUUCAGGUACCGUCAUUUCUUUCUUCCCUGACUAAAGAACUUUACAAUCCGAAGACCUUCUUCAUUCACGCGGCAUUGCUGGGUCAGAGUUUCCUCCAUUGCCCAAUAUUCCCCACUGCUGCCUCCCGUAGGAGUCUGGGCCGUAUCUCAGUCCCAAUGUGGCCGAUCACCCUCUCAGGUCGGCUACGCAUCGUCGCCUUGGUGGGCCGUUACCUCACCAACUAGCUAAUGCGACGCGAGUCCAUCUCAUACCGGAUUGCUCCUUUUACCCCUCUGCCAUGCGGCAGUGUGGUCUUAUACCGUAUUAACUGAAGUUUCCCUCAGGUAUCCCGUUGUAUGAGGCAGGUUACUCACGCGUUACUCACCCGUUCGCCACUAGGAUAUUGCUAUCCCCGUUCGACUUGCAUGUGUUAGGCAUGCCGCCAGCGUUCGUCCUGAGCCAGGAUCAAACUCU
This 477-nucleotide ribosomal RNA is filed under the name uncultured Clostridia bacterium. RNAcentral describes it as "partial 16S ribosomal RNA". The record is from RNAcentral. Lineage: Bacteria; Bacillati; Bacillota; Clostridia.